UGGGGAAUAUUGCACAAUGGGCGCAAGCCUGAUGCAGCCAUGCCGCGUGUGUGAAGAAGGCCUUCGGGUUGUAAAGCACUUUCAGCGGGGAGGAAGGCGGUGAGGUUAAUAACCUCAUCGAUUGACGUUACCCGCAGAAGAAGCACCGGCUAACUCCGUGCCAGCAGCCGCGGUAAUACGGAGGGUGCAAGCGUUAAUCGGAAUUACUGGGCGUAAAGCGCACGCAGGCGGUCUGUCAAGUCGGAUGUGAAAUCCCCGGGCUCAACCUGGGAACUGCAUUCGAAACUGGCAGGCUAGAGUCUUGUAGAGGGGGGUAGAAUUCCAGGUGUAGCGGUGAAAUGCGUAGAGAUCUGGAGGAAUACCGGUGGCGAAGGCGGCCCCCUGGACGAAGACUGACGCUCAGGUGCGAAAGCGUGGGGAGCAAACAGG
Molecule: ribosomal RNA, 429 nt
Filed under: Chloroflexota bacterium
Lineage: Bacteria; Bacillati; Chloroflexota
Description: Chloroflexi bacterium partial 16S ribosomal RNA
Rfam family: Bacterial small subunit ribosomal RNA
Source: RNAcentral